Molecule: unclassified non-coding RNA, 213 nt
Filed under: uncultured fungus
Lineage: Eukaryota; Fungi
Description: sequence contains ITS1, 5.8S rRNA gene
Source: RNAcentral
CCAAAUCCAAAUACCCAAACCCCAUGUGAACUAUUGUAUAGUCUGUCUUUGGGAGAAAAACAUCCAAGAAAAAUUAGCUUAAUUGCUCUUUUUUCUUGGAUUUUUCUCCCAAUAGAGUCCGGCGCAACUUUAUUGUUGUUUCCAGAUUCGAAACCCUUUUAAACCACUUGAUUUUUCUGUUGGAAUUUUCUUUUAUUAAUUUUAAAUAAAGGA